Molecule: long non-coding RNA, 752 nt
Organism: Eutrema salsugineum
Lineage: Eukaryota; Viridiplantae; Streptophyta; Magnoliopsida; Brassicales; Brassicaceae
Exons: 3
Source: RefSeq, a predicted model, not a curated record
UUUUGCUCUCUCUUUUAUGAAAAAAUUGAAACCUAAACUUCAUCUCACUGAUGAAAUUGAUAUCCUUUUUUGACUUGCAUGUGAAUUCAAAUGGAUUGAAGGCUGGAAAAUCUCUCUCACCGAAUCGAUUGUGACCGGAAUCUCUCUCACCAACACUCAGAUAAGUUUCUCGACUCUCUUCAAAUUUUGUAGAUCAAUCGGUUAAUUAUGCUUGCUGAAUCGAUUUACUUGUGGAACGCCUUCGAAUUUGUUGCUGAUUAGUUAGGGUUGAUGAGUGAAUCGAUGAGGUGAAGUGGUGAACUCUCUAAAAAUUAAGCUGAUGCAUGAUUAAUUCCUUUUGAUGAAUCGAUUAGUGGUAGCGAUGUGAAGAUGGCUUUGGUUCUGGUGACAUCUAAAAUCCAUUACCCGAGAGAGUUGUGUCGAUUUCGCGAUUGAGGAGAGGAGUCUUCUCCGAAGAAAACUGAUUCAGAUCAAGGAGAAAAGAGAAGAUAUUAUUAUGUCAACGAGCACUGAAUCUUCUUCUCUUCCUACUCAAAGGGCUUAAAGGAUGCAUGGCACAAUCGUUAUGAGCAGAUGGGUUUGUAUGAGUAGAUGGGCUUAAAGGAUGCAUGGUACAAUCGUUAUUCCACAAAUGUAUUUUGAGAGAAGUAGAUAUUUUUGUGUCUUUGUAUUUGUAUGGCCGACACCACAAAAAGAUUUUUAUGGUUUUUUAUGUACUUACCACACAUGUUGGAGAUGGCUUUUUAUGAAUU